Molecule: ribosomal RNA, 656 nt
Filed under: uncultured fungus
Lineage: Eukaryota; Fungi
Description: eukaryotic LSU rRNA
Rfam family: Eukaryotic large subunit ribosomal RNA
Source: RNAcentral
CCCGCUGAACUUAAGCAUAUCAAUAAGCGGAGGAAAAGAAACCAACAGGGAUUGCCUUAGUAACUGCGAGUGAAGCGGCAAAAGCUCAAAUUUGAAAUCUGGUACCAUUCGGUGCUCGAGUUGUAAUUUGGAGAGGCAACUUCGGAGAGGGCGUUGGCCUAAGUUCCUUGGAACAGGACGUCACAGAGGGUGAGAAUCCCGUGCUUGGCUGACUGUCCCUCUUCAUGUGAAGUGUCUUCGACGAGUCGAGUUGUUUGGGAAUGCAGCUCAAAAUGGGUGGUAAACUCCAUCUAAGGCUAAAUAUAGGCGAGAGACCGAUAGCGAACAAGUACCGUGAGGGAAAGAUGAAAAGCACUUUGGAAAGAGAGUUAAACAGUACGUGAAAUUGCUGAAAGGGAAACGCUUGAAGUCAGUCAUGUCUGCCAGGACUCAGCCUUGCUUCUGCUUGGUGCACUUUCUGGUUUGAUGGGCCAACAUCAAUUUUGACCGCUGGAGAAAGGCUUUGGGAAUGUGGCACCUUUGGGUGUGUUAUAGCCCUUUGUCGUAUGCAACGGUUGGGAUUGAGGACUGCAGCACGCCUUCAUGGCCGGGGUUCGCCCACGUACGUGCUUAGGAUGUUGGCAUAAUGGCUUUAAGCGACCCGUCUUGAAACACGG